This is an RNA transcript of Salvelinus namaycush (lake trout), 7177 nucleotides long. It is a transcript of the gene named regulation of nuclear pre-mRNA domain-containing protein 2-like, with no coding region annotated. The transcript is spliced from 23 exons. NCBI's taxonomy places the organism in Eukaryota, Metazoa, Chordata, Actinopteri, Salmoniformes, Salmonidae. The record is from RefSeq and is a predicted model, not a curated record.
UAGCACAUACAGUAAUAACUGAAUGUACUGUUAAAACAAUAGCAAUUUACUAAUGUGUACAGCCAGCGCGGCACCAUACCGCACAAGUGCACUCUUGACUAGGUUGAUCACAACGCGCGACAGGCAAGAACCAGCUAGCUUGUCAGUUCAAGGCCUGGAAAAUGGCUGCAGGAUCUGGCGCGUCAAGCGGCCACGGUCGUGGUUCGCCUGCGGCCCUAGAGUCAACUUUGGAUCGACGGUUUCAAGGAGUGUCGAACACAAUGGAAUCAAUUCAAGGACUAUCAAAUUGGUGUAUCGAGAACAAGAAAUACCACAGUCUUAUCGUGCGUUACUGGAUGAAAUGGUUGAGGAAAUCUGAGGCUUCUCACCGUCUCAAUUUGUUCUACCUCGCCAAUGAUGUCAUUCAGAACUGUAAGAGGAAAAAUGCCAUUGUCUACCGUACUGCUUUCGCCGACGUGCUCCCUGAGGCCUUCCAGCUGGUCAAUAAUGUGGGAGACUCUAAGGUGAUGAAGUCAGUGGACAGGAUAUUAUCCAUCUGGGAGGAGAGGAGUGUGUACACAGAGGAGCUCAUAGCUGAGCUGAGGGCCAGUCUGGUCAAAGAGGUGUCACCUGCUGCUUUAGAAACACCUAAAGCUCCAGUCAACUCUAAAGCUGCUCUUCAAUCUAAGAUUGUAGCUGAAUUUGUCCCCCAGGAAUUCAUCGAUCAUCUUUCUAAGUACCACAGCUCUGUGGAGGAAGUGGAGCUAAAGGAGAAACAGCUGGCAGCCAUGAGGGUGGACGUCUGCAGCAGCAAGGACCUCAAGAGACUGAAAGAUAAGGCAGGGGGGAAGAGGCACUCCAAGGACUUUGAGGAUGGCAGUGCGAAGCUAAAGGAGUUUGUGGCCUUCCUUGACCGGCAGAUCAAAGGAGGGUCCCCUCUGUUGAAUGCUCUUGGCAACGCAGACAUUUUCUACGAGAUGCAGUAUAAGGAGGUCAAGAUAGUCGCCAAUGCGUACAAGACGUUUGCCAACCGGGUGUCCCACCUCAAGCGUAAGCUGGACAGCCUCAAGGCCACCUUACCAGACCUGGACGAGUCGCCCCUCCCCUCGCCCUCGAUGGAUGCCCCGUCCCCCAAUGGCUCAGAGUCCCCCUUCCGUGGCCUGGCCGACCCAGAAUCUGACUUGGAUGGCCUGGCCAUGGAUGAUGAGGCGGAAAUCACUCUGGGGGAAGCACCCAGCCCCCUGUCCUCCCCUGGUGGCUCCCCAAAGCAGGGCUUCACUGUCGGGGAGUUAGACAACCGCGACGUGGAGGACAUGGAGCUCUCGGAUGAGGAGGAGGCAGAGAGCGUCGGUAUCAUAGUUGAGGAGCGAGUUGAAAGUCCCGUCCCAUCUCCAGACCCCAUUCCUGUGCCUGUUGUCACACAGCUGCCGCUGGCCACAGAGGCAAAGCCUGUCCCACAGGCCACACCCUCCCCAGCUGUCAUGAUCCCAGUGACCCCUACAACCAACCUAUCAGGCAACCUCGCCAAUGUAGACCUGGGUAAAAUUAGCUCUAUCCUCAGCAGCAUCACCUCUGUCAUGAAGAAACCAGGAGUGAGUCCAGGUGCUUCUUUGGUCUGCCCCUCCUCUCCAGCCAAGACCACCCCUCCUGCCCCAGUAGCCCCCCAGGUAGCCAGCCCUCUGGCCAGCGUCCUGUCCAGAGUGGACAUGACUCCCAAGGCGCUCCUCAGUGCACUGUCCAAAACCCAGGAGCAGGCCAGCGGGCGACAUGUUCUCUCCACUCUUGUGAACAGCCCAACGGGAAACCUCUCCUCAUACUCCCCCAGUACAGACAAGCUCCCUCCCUCCGCCUCCACCCCUACAGUACCCUCUCGAGGCCUUCCUCUCACCUCCUCUACGCUCCAACCAACCCCAUCAGCCCCUACAGUGGGGAAUACCACCACCGUCCUUCAGGCAGCGUCCCUUACCCAGCCCACACAGCCUCUAGACAUCGGCCCUCACAGAGGGCUGGUCCUUGAGCAAGGGAAGGAAGAAAAGCCCUCUGCUUCCAGCCUGGAGUCCAAGAUCCACAGCUUCCUGCAGGUUAACCCUGGCUUUAAUGCCUUUAACCUGGGCUUGACUAGCGAGACCAUGCAAGCGGGAGGCAGCGACAUCAGCCCCUUAGCGGGUACAGAGACCCAAGUGGGCACCCCGGUGCGGGAUGAGGCCGGAGGAGGCACCCCCACCCUGGAUGAGUUCUUGGACACUCCAGGAGGAGCAGAGCCCUUCCUGGCCAAGCAAGGCCAGGUCUCUUCUGGGGGAGUUCCUAAACAACCAGAUGGCAGCCUGUCUCAGUCUCCAACUGCCUACCACAACCAAGCCUGGCAGGAUCCCAACAACCCUCAUGUCCACUUAGGACCACAACCAGGUGCUCCGAAUGGGCAGGGGUACCACCAGUUGCCUUAUGGAGGGAAGGAAGAGAUGCAUGGAAUAGGUCCUUCCCUCAGAGAGUCUGGGUUGGCCCAUUACCAGCCCAUCACGACACAGGUGUCAGCCCCAACCCUCGGGGAGGGGUUACCCAGUAACACACCAGGAGGGGCUCAGGCAGGGCCAAACCCCAGUGUGAGUGAAGGAGGAUGGUAUGGUCAUCCCUACCCAGAGGGACAGGCCCUGCAUCCUAACAACCACAACAUGGCUGCAUCAGGGGCAGGAGAUGGCAAAACCCCCAUGUCAGGACGGUAUGCAUACCAGGGGGAGGGGCAGACGCAGCCCUACCAAACAAAGGAUCCUCAAACUCUGCUUUCCCAACAGGGGGCCAACCCCUUAAGCUUCCUCACCAGCCCUCUGCCCCCCAUUCCCCAGCUGCCUCCACCGCCCUUCCCUGGAAUACCAGCCCCACCUGCGUCUGUCAUUGUGCGAGGGGUGAUGGUGCCUGUGGCGCAACCCUCACCAAACCCUGAGAUGGAGGAUGACAGGGCGGGCGUCAGUGCAUUGGGCGGUCCAGUGAUUAUCAGUGAUCACCAGCACAAAUCUGCUUUCUACCCUGAGGGCCAACCCUAUCACCCAGAUGACCUUCAUCGCCAUGCCGAUGACCCCCGUCAUCACCCUGACGAUUUCCGUUGUCACCCCAACGAUCUACGCCGUCAGCCUGACGACCUGCAUCACCUUGACAACUUCCGUCAGCACCCCCACGACCUCCAUCGUCACCCAGACGAUCGCUAUUAUCACCCAGACGAUUUCCACCAUCUACCUGUAGACGAUCCUCAUUAUCCUUAUAGAGUCAGAGAGCGCCUCACUCCCCCCCUCUCUCCCUCAGAAGACCCUUACUACUAUAAUUACCCUCCACGCAGCCCUUCCCCUCCAUAUGGUCACAGACCCCCCCUUCACCCUCACAUGGACCUGCACCACCCUGACCACAUGCCCCUGCCUCCCCAUCCUCCACACCGUCCUCUCCACCAGCCACACCUGAGAGGCCUCCCGUGGGGUCCCCCACGCCCAACCCUCUGUGGCCCCAUGCUCAGGGGGAAACGGCCAGGGCCUCCUUUCGGGGGACACCUCAGAGGGGGACCAGGUGGUCCGUUCUUUCCCCCCAAAAGACCACACCUACCUCCGCGCUUCUGACUUGUCAACUGACUGGAGUGACAUCAAAUUACAGUGCUUAGGCUACCGGAAUGUCAUUGUGGCAGGGGGCGCGACACAUCGAGGGUAGAAGAGGAGGAGAGAUGAGUUGGGAAGAAGCAGAAGAAUUGAGGUGUACUUUUCUCUGCUCCCCUUCUUGGUUUAAGAGGCCUGAGAGGAAGAGGGGAAUAGAUGAGUACAAUUGGAGGAGGAGUAAAUUGGGAGGAUCUAAAGGAAUGGAGGAGAGGAUUAGUGAAGACAUGGAUCUGGAGAAAGAGGGAAUGGAGAGGUCGGCCUGAACAACGAAGACACAGCGGAAUAGAAGAAAAUAAGAGUAACCUGGAUGACUCAUGGUGACCUGUGCGAGGAGUGGGAAACCGCUGGCGUGAGUGACAUACAAUACAACAAGCUCCAAGGGCCAGUACAUCAAGAGCCAGACUAGUGCAACAUUUUGGGCCAGUCACUGAGGAGGAAGAAUCAGAGAAAAGGACCAGUGGAUUGGAAUCCACUCCAGUUUUAAACAUUGAUGAAGAAAUAGCAAUACUUCAUAGAGAAAUUAACAUCCUCCUAGCUGACUUAGAAGACCCUGAGUGUUCAAAUCCUGCUGUGCCUGGUGCAUCACACAGUUGGAGUGUGAGGAAGGAACUCUCACAGGAUAGGUGGAGGGAGUCCAGGCCUGAGAUUGUAGAUUCUCUGCUGGCUGCAGAGCAUGCUUCUCAGAAGAUCUGUCAGUCAUGCAAUGUGAAAAGGGCUAUUCUGCGAUGUAGAGACUGUCUGCCGAAACAGCUUUACUGCGAAGACUGCGAUUUCUCUACACAUGCAAAGUUCCCCCCUGCACAACAGACAGUCCAUGAUCGAGGGGUUCUACACGCCCCUUCCUCCAACUACAGCCAUAUCUCUCCACAGUGAUGGCAAAUAUGCACUUCAUGAACAGGGUUGCUACAAUGUCACAGUGCCUGUGCUGACCUGCACAACUUGUCUUAGCACCUGGACAGCAAACUUGGCAGAUCUGAUAAAGAAUGGGUACUGGCCUGCCACUGUCAACUGUGACACCAUAUACCAGGUAGAUCUGUUCGGCUCUUUUGAGGAGCUGAAAGUGUCAGCCCCAGGAAUGUCCCGUCUGGCGUUUAUGUGGAUUUUGGAGCAGCGAACUGACUUCUUUGGCAGGAACGGAAUGAUCUGUGGGGACACUUUUCAAAAAAGCUUCUUUGAGUGGACGUACUGCCGCUCUGAAAUUGAUCAGGUCUGUGAUAUACAGGACUUUGACUGCCCAGCCUGUUCACCCAGCAUGCUUGCAGUGGACGGGAACAAGAAGCUGUAUCGAUUCAGAAAAGGGGUUAUGGAAAAGGGGUAUGUGGAGCAUCCUAGUGGACAGCAGCUAAAGACUCGGCAAGGAAAACAAACGACAAACUUGAUGAAGAGGGAUUCGACGUUGCCGUCUGCCGCCACGGAAUACUUCUAAGGAGCCUCAACAUGAUGCGCGGAGAGAUAUUUGCGUGCAACACUGUUCUUGCAGAAGGAAUUGUCUGGCAGCAGGAACAUACAAUUCAUGUGUACGGAUGUGAUCUGCAAAUUUUGGCCAUACCCGACCAAAGUUGCCCAUCAUUGUCCAGAGCUCGCCACUCUUCUAGACAUGAAGCUACUUCUUUCCGUCAUGCAUGCAAAGGCACAUCGUUUGAAAUGUGAGAUUAAGUGGGGAGGACGGAAUCAGGAAGGAGCUGGCACAACUCUGGGGGAGGUAGUGGAACAAGGGAACAGCUUCAAUCUGUUCCAAGCAAAUGUCCAAAGGAGGAGUUCUAUUUGGCUUUUCUAGCAAGAACAGACAUGCUAACCAUCCAGGCCAUGGGGUGGAACAGAAGGAAGAAAAACAACUUGCACAGAGUAUUGUCCAGAAGAUACUUGAAGGGACAACAGCAAAAAUCCAGGAGGAGACCCAGACUCUCGAAAAGUUUAAGAGUGAUUUGGGUGUAGGUGAUGAGACUGUACAACUGGACAACGGCAGUUCAGCAAUGGGCUAAUACAGAGGAAACAAAUGAGAACACGGAUGGUCCCCUGGUACUACAGAGAAUAACUGAAGUCCUGUUUCUUAGCAUCAAACAAAGGAAACAGAACCUCUACAGUCAGACAGAUGGAUGCAAGAAAAGACUCUGCGCAGAAAGAUAUUGGAGGAAAAGGACAAAUUGACAGCUGCCAUAGAGGAGUACAACACCCUUGUACCAGAUUCAGCAAUACCAUCUGUAGAUGAGAUCCUUUCCGCAGACCUUCAUGCAUGGCCUUGGAAGCUGCAUGGACAAAGAAUUUACAGCUGACCUACUCACAAAGAAAAUGGCCUUUGACCGGGUGAUGCUCCUGAGACGGCUGAAGGAGGAAGAGUUAAUUGUCCUAAAGGAAGUCAAGCAGCACUGGGAAAGCCUAAAGAGGGAAUCGGAGAAUGUGCAAGACCUUGCUUCACAUGUGGCACUUGACUUAAGCAGGAAAAGUAGGGGAACUUUCAUUAAUAUGUACAAUUGAUGUUGGCACCCUGUUAUUGCUAUUGUAAUAAAGGAAUACUUCAUUAUAUUUACCCUACACAUUACGAUUGUUGGUGUUAGGCUGGCAAUUGAAUCAGUUGGAAGCUGGGAGCAGAGGUCUCUUCUCCAUGCUUCAGAGGAGAGUCAGCAGCCUCAGAAGACACCAGGACUGUCAAACUGAUAUACAUCAAAGCUAUGGGCCAAGACACCUCCCUCCUAGAAAAUAACUUCAUAGAUGACCUCCUGGAAGAGGACCUAGAUGACAUCUAUGACAGCAUCCACUACAGCCCUGAUGACGAGGAAUCUAUCACAGACUGAAGGUGUUUGUUUGAGUGGGUGCAGUUUGCACUGGGUGAAAAGAGAGCACACAUGCAAAACAAAUGGAAUCAAUCUGCCUUCCUAAGGAAAAAUUGUUUGAUCAUUUUAUGGAAAAUAAACGUUGAUGUUUCCUCCUUGUUGACACUGUGAUCAUGUGGCACAGAUUUGAGAAGGGCGCUAUUACUGAUUUUGCCCGGUUACAUGACCAGGUCCGAUGCACCCCUUUAAAUGGACAAUCUGCAGUUGCUACAUCCACUUUUGGAUGCUUGAAGAAUAUAAUUUAUAAAUGCCUCAUGAAUACAGUUCACCUGCCGUACCCCAUCAGAUCCCAAAAUAUAUAUAUAUUUUUUCUGCUUGAAUGUUUGUAAACAAAGUAAAUGUAAACAUACACUAGCAUGUGUCAAAAUAAUUCCACGGGUGAGCUGGGUGUCUGUGGGUUUUCGCAACUCCCAUAAUUGAUGAAUUAAGGUCACUAAUUAGUAAGGAACUCCCCUCACCUGCUUGUCUAGGUCUUAAUUGAAAGAAAAAGAAAAAAAAACAGCAGACACUAGGCUCUCCAUGGAAUGAGAUUGACACCACUGGACUGUAACAUCGAAACAUGGUGUAAACUAUGGUUACAUUUCUCCAGCCCCAUCCCUCUGCUUUUUACAGAACCAUUGGCGGGGAGAACGAUUUAUUGUUUCACCUGGUGAUUUCCGAUUGAAACAUUAAACUGUAAUGUACUGUGCUUGUGUGUGCUUAUUAGUUUAGUUAAUAAAAAACGAAAAAAGGUUA